RNAcentral lists this ribosomal RNA (497 nucleotides) under uncultured bacterium. RNAcentral describes it as "partial 16S ribosomal RNA". It matches the Rfam family "Bacterial small subunit ribosomal RNA", at positions 28 to 507 of the family's 1533-position model. The record is from RNAcentral.
GAUGAACGCUGGCGGCGUGCCUAAUACAUGCAAGUCGAGCGAACAGACGAGGAGCUUGCUCCUCUGACGUUAGCGGCGGACGGGUGAGUAACACGUGGAUAACCUACCUAUAAGACUGGGAUAACUUCGGGAAACCGGAGCUAAUACCGGAUAAUAUAUUGAACCGCAUGGUUCAACAGUGAAAGACGGUUUUGCUGUCACUUAUAGAUGGAUCCGCGCCGCAUUAGCUAGUUGGUAAGGUAACGGCUUACCAAGGCAACGAUGCGUAGCCGACCUGAGAGGGUGAUCGGCCACACUGGAACUGAGACACGGUCCAGACUCCUACGGGAGGCAGCAGUAGGGAAUCUUCCGCAAUGGGCGAAAGCCUGACGGAGCAACGCCGCGUGAGUGAUGGAGGUCUUCGGAUCGUAAAACUCUGUUAUUAGGGAAGAACAAAUGUGUAAGUAACUAUGCACGUCUUGACGGUACCUAAUCAGAAAGCCACGGCUAACUACGUG